UUUUUGAUGGCCGAGAUUUUAGGCCGUAGAUUUUUAAUCUGCUUACGGAGUUUCUCCUCUUGCGUUGGC
This 69-nucleotide transfer RNA is filed under the name Ellobium chinense. RNAcentral's name for it is "tRNA-Lys". Lineage: Eukaryota; Metazoa; Mollusca; Gastropoda; Ellobiida; Ellobiidae. The record is from RNAcentral.